This 484-nucleotide ribosomal RNA is filed under the name uncultured bacterium. RNAcentral's name for it is "partial 16S ribosomal RNA". It matches the Rfam family "Bacterial small subunit ribosomal RNA", at positions 30 to 507 of the family's 1533-position model. The record is from RNAcentral.
AUUGAACGCUGGCGGCAGGCCUAACACAUGCAGGUCGAGCGGAUGAAGGGAGCUUGCUCCUGGAUUCAGCGGCGGACGGGUGAGUAAUGCCUAGGAAUCUGCCUGGUAGUGGGGGAUAACGUCCGGAAACGGGCGCUAAUACCGCAUACGUCCUGAGGGAGAAAGUGGGGGAUCUUCGGACCUCACGCUAUCAGAUGAGCCUAGGUCGGAUUAGCUAGUUGGUGGGGUAAAGGCCUACCAAGGCGACGAUCCGUAACUGGUCUGAGAGGAUGAUCAGUCACACUGGAACUGAGACACGGUCCAGACUCCUACGGGAGGCAGCAGUGGGGAAUAUUGGACAAUGGGCGAAAGCCUGAUCCAGCCAUGCCGCGUGUGUGAAGAAGGUCUUCGGAUUGUAAAGCACUUUAAGUUGGGAGGAAGGGCAGUAAGUUAAUACCUUCCUGUUUUGACGUUACCAACAGAAUAAGCACCGGCUAACUUCGUG